AGAAAUAUAUGUCUGAUGAAAGAAUUACUUUGAUAGAGUAAAACAUAGAGGUUUAAGUCCUCUUAUUUCUA
Neotoma lepida (desert woodrat) is the source of this 71-nucleotide transfer RNA. It matches the Rfam family "tRNA". Rfam says of the family: Transfer RNA (tRNA) molecules are approximately 80 nucleotides in length. Their secondary structure includes four short double-helical elements and three loops (D, anti-codon, and T loops). Lineage: Eukaryota; Metazoa; Chordata; Mammalia; Rodentia; Cricetidae. The record is from Rfam.